Long non-coding RNA from Zingiber officinale, 796 nucleotides. RefSeq lists it as uncharacterized. The record is from RefSeq and is a predicted model, not a curated record. Lineage: Eukaryota; Viridiplantae; Streptophyta; Magnoliopsida; Zingiberales; Zingiberaceae. The transcript is spliced from 3 exons.
AAGUUAUUUGUAUUACUAAUAUUUGUUUUUGUAGAAACUACUGAGGUGGGGUUGAAUGAUUUGACUGAAAAUAUUAUGAAUUUAUUCACAAAUGAGGAUCUUGGAUCAAAACCUACUGCAACACAUGAUUGAUGAUUCUAAUGAAAAGUUUGACUCGGUACAAAGGAGGAGUAAAACAAUGGAAAAGUGGAGCUUGAAACUGAAAGUUAUUUUGUGAAGCUUGAAAACUUUUUUAUUUUGUAUUGAUAUCAUAAAUUUUCUUGUAUAGACUCUGGACUCUAUAGGAUCGUUUACUUGUAUAGAUAAUAUAGUUGUAUUAACCUUUAAUCCUUUUGGAUUGCCUUAAAAGUUAUUUUUUGGGUUUCAUGUGGAACCCCCUUUCAUGGGUGAUGGAAAUGGCUGCCAUCAUGGCCAUUGCCUUGGCCAUCGGCAGUGGAAAACCCCCAGACUGGCAAGACUUUGUCGGUAUUGUAGUGCUGCUCGUGAUAAACUCCACCAUCAGUUUCCUUGAAGAAAACAAUGCUGACAAUGUUGCUGCUGUGCUGCAGCUCUUAUGGCUGGCCUGGCUCAAAAAACGAAGGUGCUCAGAGAGUCAGAGUGGUAAGAUUGUAUUUGUUUUGCCCUUUUUUGAAAGAGUGUGUUUUGAAGGACCCUUAGAAUUUGUGAGACAUUGAGGUUGCCUUAUGAUUCAUGAUGUUGUAAUCGGUGGUUUCUUUUCCAUUUGCAAGUAGUCGAGCAUUGGUAUUUGGUAUUUAGGACGAGCUUAGAAAAUGGGUUCAAUGUUUUGGUUAUGCAA